RNAcentral lists this ribosomal RNA (207 nucleotides) under uncultured Acidobacteriota bacterium. RNAcentral describes it as "uncultured Acidobacteria bacterium partial 16S ribosomal RNA". It matches the Rfam family "Bacterial small subunit ribosomal RNA", at positions 568 to 774 of the family's 1533-position model. The record is from RNAcentral. Lineage: Bacteria; Pseudomonadati; Acidobacteriota.
CGCGUAGGCGGCUUUACAAGUCAGAUGUGAAAGCCCCGGGCUUAACCCGGGAAUUGCAUCUGAAACUGUUUAGCUUGAGUCCUGGAGGGGGUAGUGGAAUUCCCAGUGUAGCGGUGAAAUGCGUAGAUAUUGGGAGGAACACCUGCGGCGAAGGCGGCUACCUGGACAGUGACUGACGCUGAGGCGCGAAAGCUAGGGGAGCGAACG